This is a long non-coding RNA of Canis lupus familiaris (dog), 500 nucleotides long. RefSeq lists it as uncharacterized. NCBI's taxonomy places the organism in Eukaryota, Metazoa, Chordata, Mammalia, Carnivora, Canidae. The transcript has 4 exons. The record is from RefSeq and is a predicted model, not a curated record.
UGCAAAUUCAGGAAAAAAAGAGGGCAUCGGAAGCAUGUAGGACGCAAAGGAGGUAAUCCAGCAGUAAUGGCAGCUCCUCUCCGAGGUUAUUCCGUGAGACAAUUCCUGGCUGCAACUUCUCUACUUCCGAAGCUAGCAGUGACAAAAAUCAGCUUUCCAUCUUUCAAAUUUGCGAAGUCCCAGGUCUGAAUAUAACAUGAGGAAAUAAAUGCUUAGAGAAAAACACGGAAGAUGAUAUAAAGAAAGGAGGGAGGUUUUCACUUGGCUUCAGAAUUCCAUCAAGUCAAAAAUUCACAGGUCUUCAGAUCAAGAACUGCACUUAAGGAGCUAUACUUUUGGACCUACAUCUGAGAAGUCUUAUCUAUACCUGAACUUGAUUUCUAUGAUGAGAUUCUGAACUUUGAGGUGAUGGUGUAAUGAAAUGAGACUUUUGGGAACCUUAGGAGGAAGUGAGUACAUUUUGUAUGCAGGAGCAACAUGGAUCCUAGGGGACCACAAAG